GAUGAGAGGAGCUUGCUCCUGGAUUCAGCGGCGGACGGGCGAGUAAUGCCUAGGAAUCUGCCUGGUAGUGGGGGACAACGUUUCGAAAGGAACGCUAAUACCGCAUACGUCCUACGGGAGAAAGCAGGGGACCUUCGGGCCUUGCGCUAUCAGAUGAGCCUAGGUCGGAUUAGCUAGUUGGUGAGGUAAUGGCUCACCAAGGCGACGAUCCGUAACUGGUCUGAGAGGAUGAUCAGUCACACUGGAACUGAGACACGGUCCAGACUCCUACGGGAGGCAGCAGUGGGGAAUAUUGGACAAUGGGCGAAAGCCUGAUCCAGCCAUGCCGCGUGUGUGAAGAAGGUCUUCGGAUUGUAAAGCACUUUAAGUUGGGAGGAAGGGCAGUAAAUUAAUACUUUGCUGUUUUGACGUUACCGACAGAAUAAGCACCGGCUAACUCUGUGCCAGCAGCCGCGGUAAUACAGAGGGUGCAAGCGUUAAUCGGAAUUACUGGGCGUAAAGCGCGCGUAGGUGGUUCGUUAAGUUGGAUGUGAAAUCCCCGGGCUCAACCUGGGAACUGCAUUCAAAACUGUCGAGCUAGAGUAUGGUAGAGGGUGGUGGAAUUUCCUGUGUAGCGGUGAAAUGCGUAAAUAUAGGA
Molecule: ribosomal RNA, 637 nt
Filed under: Pseudomonas sp. P1-3-18
Lineage: Bacteria; Pseudomonadati; Pseudomonadota; Gammaproteobacteria; Pseudomonadales; Pseudomonadaceae
Description: bacterial SSU rRNA
Rfam family: Bacterial small subunit ribosomal RNA
Source: RNAcentral